Molecule: ribosomal RNA, 432 nt
Filed under: uncultured bacterium
Lineage: Bacteria
Description: partial 16S ribosomal RNA
Rfam family: Bacterial small subunit ribosomal RNA
Source: RNAcentral
AACGAACGCUGGCGGCAUGCCUAACACAUGCAAGUCGAACGAGACCUUCGGGUCUAGUGGCGCACGGGUGCGUAACGCGUGGGAACCUGCCCUUAGGUUCGGAAUAACUCCCCGAAAGGGGUGCUAAUACCGGACAAUGUCUUCGGACCAAAGAUUUAUCGCCUUUGGAUGGGCCCGCGUUGGAUUAGCUAGUUGGUAGGGUAAAAGCCUACCAAGGCGACGAUCCAUAGCUGGUCUGAGAGGAUGAUCAGCCACACUGGGACUGAGACACGGCCCAGACUCCUACGGGAGGCAGCAGUGGGGAAUAUUGGACAAUGGGCGAAAGCCUGAUCCAGCAAUGCCGCGUGAGUGAUGAAGGCCUUAGGGUUGUAAAGCUCUUUUACCCGGGAUGAUAAUGACAGGACCGGGAGAAUAAGCUCCGGCUAACUCCGU